This 450-nucleotide ribosomal RNA is filed under the name uncultured bacterium. RNAcentral describes it as "partial 16S ribosomal RNA". It matches the Rfam family "Bacterial small subunit ribosomal RNA", at positions 354 to 796 of the family's 1533-position model. The record is from RNAcentral.
GUGGGGAAUCUUCCGCAAUGGACGAAAGUCUGACGGAGCAACGCCGCGUGAGUGAAGAAGGUUUUCGGAUCGUAAAGCUCUUUCGUUAGGGACGAACGUGCUCUUUGUAAAUAAUGAGGAGUAAUGACGGUACCUAAAUAAGAAGCCACGGCUAACUACGUGCCAGCAGCCGCGGUAAUACGUAGGUGGCAAGCGUUGUCCGGAAUUAUUGGGCGUAAAGCGCGCGCAGGCGGGAUAUCAAGUCUGUCUUAAAAGUGCGAGGCUCAACCUCGUGAGGGGACAGAAACUGGUAUUCUUGAGUGUCGGAGAGGAAAGUGGAAUUCCAAGUGUAGCGGUGAAAUGCGUAGAGAUUUGGAAGAACACCAGUGGCGAAGGCGACUUUCUGGACGAUGUCUGACGCUGAGGCGCGAAAGCUAGGGGAGCGAACGGGAUUAGAAACCCCUGUAGUCC